Molecule: long non-coding RNA, 768 nt
Organism: Mus musculus (house mouse)
Lineage: Eukaryota; Metazoa; Chordata; Mammalia; Rodentia; Muridae
Product: predicted gene, 32660
Exons: 3
Source: RefSeq, a predicted model, not a curated record
UUUGUGCAUUGUUCUCCCUGUACUGGAAGAGGGAGGGUAAACCUGAUCCCCUGGCUCAACUUACAAGGCUUACCAACAGCAGACAACCCUCUUCCUCCGGUGGGGGCUUUGUUGGAUGAUUGGCAUGAUGGCUAGGUUAAAAGUCGAAGGAUGGCCGACGCUUAUUUACUACCUGGGCUGAGAAGCUGAGAGCCAGUGGUUUACAGUGAGCUGUGGAGCCAGCUGGAGAAGAGUUCAAAAGCCAUCUGAUGAUCUGAGAGCUUGAAAGCUACCCACUCAAGACACAUCUCAGUUUUGUCUGCUUCCUCCCUCUUCUCUGGGAACGCACAGAGCUGAGGCCUCUCUCACAUCAGUUCAUUACCCCUUCUGCUGGAAGAUCACAGGCAGGGAACACUCAGGAGGUGUGGGAACUACCCUGAAAGUCCACCACCAACACCACCACCACGACCACGACCACCACCACCACCACCACUGUCCCUCUCAGAGUUUGUAACUCUCACAGACCCCAGGUUGAUGUAUGCCUUCCAUACAAGCAUUCGCUGGGGGAUUCUGUUUCCAGCCAACAGUGAGGACCCAUGUCUAGUUUUAGGGGCAUCGACUUACUCUGUGGUCUCAAACUUUUGGUGAAUUUAAAAAGGGAUGUUGAUGUGAUGUUGGCCCAGCUUUUCUUGCAAAGGUGAAAAUGAUGCCUUCUGGAUUUUUUGACAUCCCAGAAAGCAAAAGCUUAGUUUACAUUUUAGAGUUGUCAGACACGAUAAUAGAAAGGGU